AGUGAACGCUGGCGGUAGGCCUAACACAUGCAAGUCGAACGGCAGCACAGUAAGAGCUUGCUCUUACGGGUGGCGGGUGGCGGACGAGUGAGGAAUACAUCGGAAUCUACUUUUUCGUGGGGGAUAACGUAGGGAAACUUACGCUAAUACCGCAUACGACCUACGGGUGAAAGCAGGGGAUCUUCGGACCUUGCGCGAUUGAAUGAGCCGAUGUCGGAUUAGCUAGUUGGCGGGGUAAAGGCCCACCAAGGCGACGAUCCGUAGCUGGUCUGAGAGGAUGAUCAGCCACACUGGAACUGAGACACGGUCCAGACUCCUACGGGAGGCAGCAGUGGGGAAUAUUGGACAAUGGGCGCAAGCCUGAUCCAGCCAUACCGCGUGGGUGAAGAAGGCCUUCGGGUUGUAAAGCCCUUUUGUUGGGAAAGAAAAGCAGCAGGUUAAUACCCCGCUGUUCUGACGGUACCCAAAGAAUAAGCACCGGCUAACUUCGUG
RNAcentral lists this ribosomal RNA (492 nucleotides) under uncultured bacterium. RNAcentral describes it as "partial 16S ribosomal RNA". It matches the Rfam family "Bacterial small subunit ribosomal RNA", at positions 29 to 507 of the family's 1533-position model. The record is from RNAcentral.